Long non-coding RNA from Sapajus apella (tufted capuchin), 2420 nucleotides. RefSeq lists it as uncharacterized. The record is from RefSeq and is a predicted model, not a curated record. Lineage: Eukaryota; Metazoa; Chordata; Mammalia; Primates; Cebidae. The transcript has 2 exons.
UUCAUCAUGUUGGUCAGGCUGGUCUUGAACUCCUGGCCUCAUGAUCCACCUGCCUCAGCCUCCCAAAGUGCCUAUUGUCCUGCUUUAUUUGGGCUUACUCGGUCUUCACUGGGAAACGUUCCUCAGCCCAUUUGGCCCAUGCUCCAAACUAGAGCGCUCCGCUAUCUGGUGCCUGUUUGGUGGCAAAAGUUUGCUGGGGGCAGGGUAGGAAAGGGCUGGCUCCUUUUAUGGGAUCCCUUGGGGCUGUGUCGAAAACAGACGGGGUGGUGGCAGAACAGAGCAGGGAUGCCAGGGAGGAGAGACUGCAGCAAGGCAGGUAGCAGGUGACGACAGUGGUGGGGCUCUGGGUGGCUGGGUGGGCUGGAGGGACAAGAAGCAAUCUAGGUGAUUUGGAGGCUGGUGAGUAGAGUCGCUGACAGGCUUGGGGAAGGUGUGAGAGGAAGAGAGGAGGGGCGGGGACUCCGAGGUUUUGGGUCCCAAUCAGUGAGAGGGAGGAUUUUGGAGAGCCUGGGGCUCAUUCUUGAUGCAUUAAGACAUCGUGGAGAUGUGGUGGCUGGGGGGAUCUGACGGUUUGGAGCUCAGGGAGAGGCUAGGGCUUGCGGUGUACACGAGUCUCCAGCUCCCUGAUGGUGGUUAAAGCCGAGAGGCUGCAUGGCAUCACCAAGGGAGUGGGCUUCGUGAAGAAGCAGACCAGGGCCUAGGCUCAGACCAGUGACAUUUCUCCCCGAGGAAAUCCAGAGACCUCCAGCAUUAGCUAAAUCUGACAGUGAGACAGACCCCAGGGAGAGGCUCAGAAGGAGAUGCUGCCCGGGCCUCCCCGAGGAUAACCAGGUGUUGGGACUAGGAGACAGAUGGGUACCUUUAUGAAAUCUAAAGACCUAAGGUGGAUUUAGCAGUACAUCAAGAAGAGAGAGCUUGAUUGAAUAAAGGCCAUGAAGCAGGCACACACUGCCCGUCACCCUCCUCAAACGUCGCAUAAAAGUAUCUUGCCAAUAAGCCACUACACACUGAUAUAGAGGGGAUAAGUCGUAACACGGUAAGUGUACUGGGAAGUACGCUUGGACGAAUCAAAGUGUAGCUUAAAUUAAAGCAUCCGGCUUACACCCGGAAGAUCUCACCAAUAACUGAUCACUCUGAGCUAGCUCUAGCUCCAACCUCAUAACUAUAUUAUUUAACUACAAUAAUUAAAUCAUUUACCUAUUAAAAAAGUAUAGGCGAUAGAAAUUAUAUUUAGGUGCAAUAGAUAUAGUACUGUAAGGGAAAGGCAAAAGCCUAAUAAAGCAUAAAAAAGCAAAGACAAACCCUUCUACCUUCUGCAUAAUGAAUUAACUAGAAAUAGCUUUAGAAAGAGAACCUACUUCACAAAGCGCCCUCACAAAUCAGAUGAUUAUCUUAAUCUUAUAAAUUAUUACUUUUUCCCCCAAGAACAGGGCUCAUUAAGAUGGCAGAGCCCAGCAACUGCAUAAAACUUGAAACUUUACAACCAGAGCUUCGGUUCCUCCUCUUAACAGCGUGUUUAUAACUAAUUUACUCCUACCAGUUAUUCCUGCUCUAGUCGCUAUAGCAUUCUUGACACUCGUAGAACGAAAAGUCUUAGGCUAUAUACAACUUCGUAAAGGCCCUAACACUGUAGGCCCCUACGGAACACUUCAACCAAUUGCUGAUGCAAUAAAACUUUUCACAGAAGAACCUCUACUACCCACCACAUCCGCUACAACCCUGUACGUAACCGCCCCAACCUUAGCCCUCUCCAUCGCUCUUCUCCUGUGAACCCCUCUCCCCAUACCUUACCCUUUAAUUAACUUGAACCUAGGCCUUUUAUUUAUACUAGCAACAUCAAGUCUAGCUGUUUACUCAAUCUUGUGAUCCGGAUGAGCAUCCAACUCAAACUGCGCACUAAUCAGCGCAUCAUGAGCUGUAGCCCAGACAAUCUCAUAUGAAGUCACCCCAGCUAUUAUUCCAUUGUCAACCCUACUCAUAAGUGGCUCAUUUAAUUUACAUUCACUUCUUACAACACAAGAGCACUCCUGACUUCUACUACCAUCAUGACUCCUAGCCAUAAUAUGAUUUAUGCCCACAUGAGCAGAAACCAACCGAGCUCCCUUUGAUCUAACAGAAGGCGAAUCAGAACUAGUUUCAGGGUUUAGCAUUGAAUAUGCUGCGGGCUCAUUCGCUCUGUUCUUUAUAGCAGAAUACAUAAAUAUCAUGAUCACAAAUGCCCUAACUAUUACUAUCUUUUUAGCAACACCUUACACUACAGCUAUACCAGAACUCUAUACAAUAAAUUUUAUCGCUAAAACCCUCCUCUUAACCACCCUAUUUUUAUGAAUUCGAACAGCAUACCCUCGAUUCCGCUAUGACCAACUAAUACACCUCCUAUGAAAAAAUUUUUUACCACUUACACUAGCACUAUGUAUAUA